This 348-nucleotide ribosomal RNA is filed under the name Ehrlichia canis. RNAcentral describes it as "bacterial SSU rRNA". It matches the Rfam family "Bacterial small subunit ribosomal RNA", at positions 102 to 485 of the family's 1533-position model. The record is from RNAcentral. Lineage: Bacteria; Pseudomonadati; Pseudomonadota; Alphaproteobacteria; Rickettsiales; Anaplasmataceae.
ACGGGUGAGUAAUGCGUAGGAAUCUACCUAGUAGUACGGAAUAGCCAUUAGAAAUGGUGGGUAAUACUGUAUAAUCCCCGAGGGGGAAAGAUUUAUCGCUAUUAGAUGAGCCUACGUUAGAUUAGCUAGUUGGUGAGGUAAUGGCUUACCAAGGCUAUGAUCUAUAGCUGGUCUGAGAGGACGAUCAGCCACACUGGAACUGAGAUACGGUCCAGACUCCUACGGGAGGCAGCAGUGGGGAAUAUUGGACAAUGGGCGAAAGCCUGAUCCAGCUAUGCCGCGUGAGUGAAGAAGGCCUUCGGGUUGUAAAACUCUUUCAAUAGGGAAGAUAAUGACGGUACCUAUAAA